GAUGAACGCUGGCGGCGUGCUUAACACAUGCAAGUCGAACGGGAAAUAUUUCAUUGAGACUUCGGUGGAUUUGAUUUAUUUCUAGUGGCGGACGGGUGAGUAACGCGUGGGUAACCUGCCUUAUACAGGGGGAUAACAGUCAGAAAUGGCUGCUAAUACCGCAUAAGCGCACAGAGCUGCAUGGCUCAGUGUGAAAAACUCCGGUGGUAUAAGAUGGACCCGCGUUGGAUUAGCUAGUUGGUGGGGUAACGGCCCACCAAGGCGACGAUCCAUAGCCGGCCUGAGAGGGUGAACGGCCACAUUGGGACUGAGACACGGCCCAGACUCCUACGGGAGGCAGCAGUGGGGAAUAUUGCACAAUGGGGGAAACCCUGAUGCAGCGACGCCGCGUGAAGGAAGAAGUAUCUCGGUAUGUAAACUUCUAUCAGCAGGGAAGAUAGUGACGGUACCUGACUAAGAGGCCCCGGCUAACUACGUG
This 478-nucleotide ribosomal RNA is filed under the name uncultured bacterium. RNAcentral describes it as "partial 16S ribosomal RNA". It matches the Rfam family "Bacterial small subunit ribosomal RNA", at positions 28 to 507 of the family's 1533-position model. The record is from RNAcentral.